AUACAAUUCUAAGGAAUUUUAUGGUGGGAUAUCGAGGAUGAACACACAUAGAGGUUCUUGUGGACAAUAUGAAAAAAAUGAAACUGAUCUGAAAUCUGGUCAGUUCAAGGUAUUAUAUAAGGAGAGCCUUGUCUACAAUAAGGGC
Long non-coding RNA from Zingiber officinale, 145 nucleotides. RefSeq lists it as uncharacterized. The transcript is spliced from 2 exons. Lineage: Eukaryota; Viridiplantae; Streptophyta; Magnoliopsida; Zingiberales; Zingiberaceae. The record is from RefSeq and is a predicted model, not a curated record.